UUGACGAAGGCAAUUGUUAAUAAAGUGUUGCCACAUCACUUUUUUCUUGAAAAUCACUUUUUUCGUCAAACAAAAAUUAUUCAUCUGUGAAAAACAAACAAUAUGGUAUUACUAAUAAUAAAAUGAAGCAAAGAGAGAAAACAAAACAAAAACAACAUAAAAAAGGAAUUUUGUACAAAAAGGGCUGGCACAGAAAUUCAGCACAAGAAAAAAUGUUCAUCGGUUUUAUGGACCUAGCGAGUGCUAUGUCAAAGGUGAUCGAGUGGUUGCCGAAACGAGUUGGUCACAACUCACUGAAAAACUACAUUCCUCGGGACCACCCAUCAAAGAUUGCAAUGGGUGGAAAAAGACAAGGUAAGAUUGGACAGUAAACGUUAAAAAAAAAUGUAUCACAAUAAAAAGGAAAAGACAAAAACUGGUUGUGGUCCUUUUAACAAAUGUGUGCUCAGUGAAAUUGAGGAAUCAAUUGCAAUGUUUCUUUUUGCACAAAAAAGAAAGAAAAGAAUACCUACACUUCUAUAUUAUUUUUAAUUACAUGUUUUGUUUUGAUUCCUCAUGCAUUCAUUCUUUCAUUCCCCUAAUUUUACCAUAUUUAAUAUAUAAUGUUGCCAUAUUUACACUGAAAUCGUAGUUUACCAAAUCGUACGAAAUCUGAAGAAGCUAAAAUAAAAACGAACGAUUUUGAAUUACGGAUUUCAACCCAUUUCGAUACGAUUUUGUGACAUUGACACUGAUUCUUUAAAUACAUCGAAAGUAUCAACGGAACGUAGCCUAAUUAUAAAGCAACAUUACCGACAUCUGGUGUAUAGAACCACGCACAAUAGAUGUCUUUUAUUUUCAAUUUCUCGAUGAUUUUUUUAGUCGAAAGAUAUUUUUUUGUUAACUAGCGCCGAUUUAAGUAAAGUAAGUCACGUUUUGUAAUUUUCCAAUAUAUUUAAACGGAAUUCUAUUUAAUUAAUAAGAACACACACGCUGUUUUACUUUUAAUGUUUUUUUUUUAAUCAAGGAGAAAAACAAACAUGCUACAACAAAAAAUAAUAAAUUGGAAUAUGUAGUUAAAGGUAAUAACAACGGAUUUGUUUGUAGCUUAAAUAAAUUAUAAUACAUAAGAAAAGACCCCAAUAGUUGUAUGUAUUAUAUUCUCUAAG
Molecule: long non-coding RNA, 1148 nt
Organism: Musca domestica (house fly)
Lineage: Eukaryota; Metazoa; Arthropoda; Insecta; Diptera; Muscidae
Exons: 2
Source: RefSeq, a predicted model, not a curated record